GUGUCAGCCGCCGCGGUAAUACGGAGGAUGCAAGCGUUAUCCGGAAUGAUUGGGCGUAAAGGGUCCGCAGGUGGCAAUGUAAGUCUGCUGUUAAAGAGUCUAGCUCAACUAGAUAAAGGCGGUGGAAACUACAUAGCUAGAGUACGUUCGGGGCAGAAGGAAUUCCUGGUGUAGCGGUGAAAUGCGUAGAUAUCAGGAAGAACACCGGUGGCGAAAGCGUUCUGCUAGGCCGUAACUGACACUGAGGGACGAAAGCUAGGGGAGCGAAUGGGAUUAGAUACCCGCGUAGUCC
RNAcentral lists this ribosomal RNA (292 nucleotides) under uncultured bacterium. Its description in RNAcentral is "partial 16S ribosomal RNA". It matches the Rfam family "Bacterial small subunit ribosomal RNA", at positions 505 to 796 of the family's 1533-position model. The record is from RNAcentral.